This 402-nucleotide ribosomal RNA is filed under the name uncultured bacterium. RNAcentral describes it as "bacterial SSU rRNA". It matches the Rfam family "Bacterial small subunit ribosomal RNA", at positions 355 to 774 of the family's 1533-position model. The record is from RNAcentral.
UGGGGAAUCUUGCACAAUGGGGGCAACCCUGAUGCAGCGACGCCGCGUGAGCGAUGAAGCCCUUCGGGGCGUAAAGCUCUUUCGACCGGAACGAUAAUGACGGUACCGGGAGAAGAAGCUGCGGCUAACUACGUGCCAGCAGCCGCGGUAAUACGUAGGCAGCAAGCGUUGUUCGGAGUUACUGGGCGUAAAGAGUGCGUAGGCGGUUUUCUAAGUUCGGUGUGAAAUCUCCCGGCUUAACUGGGAGGGCGCGCCGAAGACUGGGAAGCUGGAGUGUGGGAAAGGCAGGCGGAAUUCCUGGUGUAGCGGUGAAAUGCGUAGAUAUCAGGAGGAACACCGGCGGUGUAGACGGCUUGCUAGACCAUAACUGACGCUGUGGCACGAAAGCGUGGGUAGCAAACA